This 254-nucleotide ribosomal RNA is filed under the name uncultured bacterium. Its description in RNAcentral is "partial 16S ribosomal RNA". It matches the Rfam family "Bacterial small subunit ribosomal RNA", at positions 524 to 776 of the family's 1533-position model. The record is from RNAcentral.
UACGUAGGGUGCGAGCGUUGUCCGGAAUUACUGGGCGUAAAGGGCUCGUAGGCGGUUUGUCGCGUCGUCUGUGAAAUUCUGGGGCUUAACUCCGGGCGUGCAGGCGAUACGGGCAUAACUUGAGUGCUGUAGGGGUAGCUGGAAUUCCUGGUGUAGCGGUGAAAUGCGCAGAUAUCAGGAGGAACACCGAUGGCGAAGGCAGGUUACUGGGCAGUUACUGACGCUGAGGAGCGAAAGCAUGGGUAGCGAACAGG